UAUCGUUUCUAGAUUUCUAUCACUCAGUGU
Molecule: non-coding RNA, 30 nt
Filed under: Rattus norvegicus (Norway rat)
Lineage: Eukaryota; Metazoa; Chordata; Mammalia; Rodentia; Muridae
Source: RNAcentral